GUGCUCGCUUCGGCAGCACUUAUACUAAAAUUGAAAUGAUACAGAGAAGAUUAGCACGGCCCCUGCACAAGGAUGACAUGCAAAUUCAUGAAGUGUUCUAUAUUAAA
Molecule: small nuclear RNA, 107 nt
Organism: Marmota monax (woodchuck)
Lineage: Eukaryota; Metazoa; Chordata; Mammalia; Rodentia; Sciuridae
Source: RefSeq, a predicted model, not a curated record